GGCGAGGGGUGGGACCGCAGGGCCGGAGUAAAAGGGUGCUUGGCUGUGACAGGUGCUAAGGGCCUGGGCGUCAGCUCCUUGCGGGAGCGUCACUGCCGACCGGGAAGGGAAAGGCAAUCUUGGGGGCCUCCGGAGUCCGGAGGAUCACUCUGAUGGGUCUCCUGGCCUCAGUGAUGGAAUUAAGAUGACUUCUAUCUCUGAAUCCAAGGGUGACUGAAAGCCGCAAGCUGCAGAAAGGACAAGAGGCAUCACCUAUGUGGAUAAAGACAGCAUCCUGAGUUGAUGGAGAAAUGGCAUAGAAGGAACCAGGUCCUUUGAUGACAUCAUGGAGCAAAGCUGUCUUCUUGCCUUGACCUGCUACCUACCUACAUGGGAAGCUGUUACUUGAGAAGGCAAUAAAAUCUAUCUUCUUUAUUGA
This 418-nucleotide long non-coding RNA is filed under the name Homo sapiens (human). Its description in RNAcentral is "HSALNT0398883". The record is from RNAcentral. Lineage: Eukaryota; Metazoa; Chordata; Mammalia; Primates; Hominidae.